Saccostrea cuccullata (small rock oyster) is the source of this 236-nucleotide long non-coding RNA. RefSeq lists it as uncharacterized. The transcript has 3 exons. Lineage: Eukaryota; Metazoa; Mollusca; Bivalvia; Ostreida; Ostreidae. The record is from RefSeq and is a predicted model, not a curated record.
AAUAGUUUUAUUAUUCUCGACAACGGGAGUGUUGAUCAGUUUGAUUCUUUUUAUAAGGUACUCUGUUCUUUUAAAGAGAAUAGACUAGCAGUAUGGCCCGGAGAGUCAACCCAGGGAUUACUGUUAAUGAUGACACACAUACAUUGGCCGAGUUAGACGUGAACUAUUAUGAUCCGCGUUAUGACUACACAGGGGAAGAAAUAGAGAAUUACUUCAUAUCUCCCAGGAGAGAACUA